GGGACCGCAAAGGUUUCGACGCACUGGUAGAAGUUUCUUCGUGAUGCAGGCCGAGAGGGAGUCAUCUCUCGUAAAUCAAGGCUCAAAAAAAAGUAAAUGCGAACAACAUCGUACCCUUUGCUCGUAAAGCAGCGCUGGUAACUGCCUAGUCACUGCCUAAGGACUUAAGUCUAAACACUUAAACAAUGUCUCGAGCCUCGCUAAAGGACUCCGUUAACUUUACCGAGAAACCCCAACGGAUGCCCUCUUCUCGCAACUGGUUUCUUCGAGAAAUUCUUCUAGAAACAAGAUUGCGUUCUGUAUUCAGUCAGAGGAAGAGGUAAGCCAAUACUGAGGUCUCUUGCGAACAGAGUAAGGUUCGUCUCCCGCUGCAAGGGGUCUUCCGAGAAGCGCAGCUAAACCUGUGAAAGAGCGGAAAAUGGAAACGAUUGCGGACGGCAGUUCGAUUCUGCCCGGUUCCAUAU
This 464-nucleotide transfer-messenger RNA is filed under the name Pseudanabaenaceae. Its description in RNAcentral is "UBA8156 sp003456125 Standard tmRNA". It matches the Rfam family "transfer-messenger RNA". From Rfam's summary of the family: Bacterial tmRNA, also known as 10Sa RNA or SsrA, is named for its dual tRNA and mRNA-like properties. Its role is to liberate the mRNA from a stalled ribosome. RNAcentral also lists the same sequence under 1 other name. Lineage: Bacteria; Bacillati; Cyanobacteriota; Cyanophyceae; Pseudanabaenales. The record is from RNAcentral.